CCUACGGGAGGCUGCAGUGAGGAAUAUUGGUCAAUGGACGAGAGUCUGAACCAGCCAAGUCGCGUGAAGGAUGACUGCCCUAUGGGUUGUAAACUUCUUUUAUAAAGGAAUAAAACGAGGCACGUGUGCCUUUUUGCAUGUACUUUAUGAAUAAGGAUCGGCUAACUCCGUGCCAGCAGCCGCGGUAAUACGGAGGAUCCGAGCGUUAUCCGGAUUUAUUGGGUUUAAAGGGAGCGUAGAUGGGUUGUUAAGUCAGUUGUGAAAGUUUGCGGCUCAACCGUAAAAUUGCAAUUGAUACUGGCAGUCGUGAGUACAGUUGAGGUAGGCGGAAUUCGUGGUGUAGCGGUGAAAUGCUUAGAUAUUACGAAGAACCCCGAUUGCGAAGGCAGCUUACUAAACUGUGACUGACAUUGAUGCUCGAAAGUGUGGGUAUCAAACAGGAUUAGAUACCCCAGUAGUC
Molecule: ribosomal RNA, 460 nt
Filed under: uncultured bacterium
Lineage: Bacteria
Description: partial 16S ribosomal RNA
Rfam family: Bacterial small subunit ribosomal RNA
Source: RNAcentral